ACCUCUUCCCAUUCCGAACAGAGAAGUUAAGCCCGAUAGCGCCGAUGGUACUGCCUUUUUGGUGGGAGAGUAGGUCGACGCCAACU
This 86-nucleotide ribosomal RNA is filed under the name Labilibaculum manganireducens. The record is from RNAcentral. Lineage: Bacteria; Pseudomonadati; Bacteroidota; Bacteroidia; Marinilabiliales; Marinifilaceae.